AGAUGCAAACCAAGGAGGCUGGAAGAUAAGAGCAGAGCCAUCAGGACCCGAGCCCCUCGGGGGUAUGAAACAGGAGUCGUGGGAGCAAAUUAGUAGGUGCACUGCAUGGAGGGAUGGAAGGGGCAGGGAGGAGCAUCUGAAUGUAAGAUUUCAGAGAAGCUCAUUUUGUCAGCAUUUCAGAGCUUCCUGUGUGCAGCAUGGAUCUAAAGCUGGUGGAUGCAGGGGGGUGAAAAAGACAACAUCUUCACUUCCUGCAUGCUGAUGGCGGAAGUGAGACAUCAGCGAAGAAACAUCACGAUCACCAAAUUAUGAUGAACACCAUGGAGGAAACAAAGGACACUGUGACACCAAGGAAGGAAGGGAGGUUACUUUUCAUAGUGGCUGUAAAUAGAACUGAAGGCUGAAAAAGAGCUGUUAAAAUGGCUUGUUUGUUUGAAGAUGAAUGAGAGUACACAAUAAAAGGAAAAAAAUUUGGACACAGACACACACAGAGGGAUGACCAUGUGGAGACGCAGGGAGAGGAUAGCAGCUACAGGCCAGGGCGAGAGGCCUCAGAGGAAACCAGCCCUGCUGACUCUUUGAACUCGGACUUCCAGCCUCCAGAACUGAACCACUGUCUUCCUUUAUCCCAGGAUGUCUGCAAGGAAGAAAAUGUCCUUUUUCUAGCAUUUAGAGGCCACCAACAUUGAAUAACCAUACUGGGGUAGACACAGUGGGGAAGAGAUUCCUGCUGUUCCCAUCACAGCAGCCUUGGAGAUGAGGAGACAGAUGGAUCUGACCAGAAGUCUGGAGAACUUCGAGAAAAAAGGAGGAGGACACAAAAGGAAAGAACAAAAAAGAUGCAUCCGGAGCAACUAUGAGGAUGGUAAAUUGGUGUCUAAUUCUGAAAAUCAUAAUUGGUAUGAAUGCUAUGCACUGUGGAAGGAGGGAUGAAGGGUAGAGGGAAUAAAAAAGAACGUGAAGUUAGAAUCCUUGGCAUGAAAGCCUGCCGUUUAUACAAGCAAACAAACAAGAUCAGAGACUAUCAACUGGCUGGCUGAAUUGGACCAAUAGGCAGGUUUGUUCAGACCCACACUUCAAAAAUUAGGAGAUCUCCACAUUAAAAUCUGGGAAUCUGACCUUUUGUAACAAAUCAGAGGAUUUGCAACACCAAGAGCAUCAUCACAGGCAACGACCAGCUUGGAUGGGCAGCGGCUGCCCCUGCAGGUGGGUCAGGUGCUCUUCCGUUGGACACAGUCUCCACCACUCCCUGUCGCUUGCUCCUUGCUCCCCAUCAGCAUAACUGUUUGGGCCUUAUAGCAUAUGCAUUUGUCACUCCCUACUAGGACGUCCACAACAUGAAAUGAGAGAACGAUUUGGUAAGUUCAACAAAAGGCAUAUUACGCAGCCACCAUACAUUCUUUGUGGAAAGAGAAGUGGCAUAA
Molecule: long non-coding RNA, 1424 nt
Filed under: Pan troglodytes (chimpanzee)
Lineage: Eukaryota; Metazoa; Chordata; Mammalia; Primates; Hominidae
Description: lincRNA
Source: RNAcentral